Molecule: long non-coding RNA, 507 nt
Organism: Homo sapiens (human)
Lineage: Eukaryota; Metazoa; Chordata; Mammalia; Primates; Hominidae
Source: Ensembl
AUGUGCAAAGGACGCCUUACCGGCGAGCUCGUUGAACCCCAGGUUGUUAAGGUUGGCAAACAGUGGGAAGUAGAUGAUGGAGAAAGGAAUGUCUCUGCAGAAGAGGAAGGAGAAACACUGAGCUCCGAGCUGCCCUGGGGCUGCCACCCAAGAUGGAGUCUCGCUCUGUCACCUAGGCUGGAGUGCAAUGGUGCGAUCUCCGCUCGCUGCAACCUCUGCCUCCCGGGUUCAAGUGAUUCUCCUGCCUCAGCCUCCCGAGUAGCUGAGAUUACAGAGCACAGAGGCUCAUCAGGAAGGACCCCCUGGCAGCCCUGGCCCCAUCCCCGCAGCAACGGAAGGAACACCAGUUCCCCAUGUCCCAUACGCUCACACCUGCUGCCCAGCCUCCCAGGGGACCUGAGAAGCCCACCUCGGUACAUGCCGAAGAAGCCCUCCGCCCGAGCCGUCUUCAUCAGGCAGUCGAUCCUGGAAGCAGAGGCCAGAGUAGGAGCGGGAGGCAGACUGUGA